This 492-nucleotide ribosomal RNA is filed under the name uncultured bacterium. RNAcentral describes it as "partial 16S ribosomal RNA". It matches the Rfam family "Bacterial small subunit ribosomal RNA", at positions 29 to 507 of the family's 1533-position model. The record is from RNAcentral.
AGUGAACGCUGGCGGUAGGCCUAACACAUGCAAGUCGAACGGCAGCACAGUAAGAGCUUGCUCUUACGGGUGGCGAGUGGCGGACGGGUGAGGAAUACAUCGGAAUCUACUUUUUCGUGGGGGAUAACGUAGGGAAACUUACGCUAAUACCGCAUACGACCUACGGGUGAAAGCAGGGGAUCUUCGGACCUUGCGCGAUUGAAUGAGCCGAUGUCGGAUUAGCUAGUUGGCGGGGUAAAGGCCCACCAAGGCGACGAUCCGUAGCUGGUCUGAGAGGAUGAUCAGCCACACUGGAACUGAGACACGGUCCAGACUCCUACGGGAGGCAGCAGUGGGGAAUAUUGGGCAAUGGGCGCAAGCCUGACCCAGCCACACCGCGUGGGUGAAGAAGGCCUUCGGGUUUUAAAACCCUUUUUUUGGGGAAGAAAAACUGCGUGUUUAACCCCCCACGUUUUGACGGUACCCAAAGAGAAAGCCCCGGCUAACUUCGUG